Molecule: ribosomal RNA, 406 nt
Filed under: uncultured bacterium
Lineage: Bacteria
Description: partial 16S ribosomal RNA
Rfam family: Bacterial small subunit ribosomal RNA
Source: RNAcentral
AUUGAACGCUGGCGGCAGGCCUAACACAUGCAAGUCGAGCGAGCGGCGGACGGGUGAGUAAUGUCUGGGAAACUGCCUGAUGGAGGGGGAUAACUACUGGAAACGGUAGCUAAUACCGCAUACCAUCGGAUGUGCCCAGAUGGGAUUAGCUAGUAGGUGGGGUAACGGCUCACCUAGGCGACGAUCCCUAGCUGGUCUGAGAGGAUGACCAGCCACACUGGAACUGAGACACGGCCCAGAGUCUGACGGGAGGCAGCAGUGGGGAAUAUUGCACAAUGGGCGCAAGCCUGAUGCAGCCAUGCCGCGUGUAUGAAGAAGGCCUUCGGGUUGUAAAGUACUUUCAGCGGAGAGGCGUUACCCGCAGAAGAAACACCGGCUAACUCCGUGCCAGCAGCCGCGGUAAUAC